This 440-nucleotide ribosomal RNA is filed under the name uncultured bacterium. Its description in RNAcentral is "partial 16S ribosomal RNA". It matches the Rfam family "Bacterial small subunit ribosomal RNA", at positions 338 to 795 of the family's 1533-position model. The record is from RNAcentral.
CCUACGGGUGGCAGCAGUGGGGAAUAUUGCACAAUGGGGGAAACCCUGAUGCAGCGACGCCGCGUGAGUGAAGAAGUAAUUCGUUAUGUAAAGCUCUAUCAGCAGGGAAGAAAAUGACGGUACCUGAAUAAGAAGCCCCGGCUAACUACGUACCAGCAGCCGCGGUAAUACGUAGGGGGCGAGCGUUAUCCGGAUUUACUGGGUGUAACGGGAGCGUAGACGGCUGUGCAAGUCUGGAGUGAAAGGCGAGGGCUCAACCCCCGGACUGCUCUGGAAACUGUACGGCUAGAGUGCAGGAGAGGUAAGUGGAAUGCCUAGUGUAGCGGUGAAAUGCGUAGAUAUUAGGAGGAACACCAGUGGCGAAGGCGGCUUACUGGACUGUAACUGACGUUGAGGCUCGAAAGCGUGGGGAGCAAACAGGAUUAGAUACCCUAGUAGUC